RNAcentral lists this ribosomal RNA (468 nucleotides) under uncultured bacterium. RNAcentral's name for it is "partial 16S ribosomal RNA". It matches the Rfam family "Bacterial small subunit ribosomal RNA", at positions 28 to 507 of the family's 1533-position model. The record is from RNAcentral.
GACGAACGCUGGCGGCGUGCUUAACACAUGCAAGUCGAACGGAAAGGCCCUGCUCUUGUGGGUUGCUCGUUUGGCGAACGGGUGAGUAACACGUGAGUAACCUGCCCUUGACUUUGGGGUAACUUCAGGAAACUCGGGCUAUUACCGGAUAUGAUCUCCUGCUGCGUGGGGUUGGUUGGAAAGUUUCGGCGGUUGUGGAUGGACUCGCUGCUUAUGAGCUUGUUGGUGUGGUAGUGGCUUACCAAGGCUGUGACGGGUAGCCGGCCUGAGAGGGUUACCGGCCACAAUGGGACUGAGAUACGGAGCAGAAGCGUACGGGAGGCAGCAGGGGGGAGUAUUGCGCAAUGAGCGGAAGCCUGAUGCAGAAACGUCGCGUGCGGGAUGACGGCCUUCGGGUUGUAAACAGAUUUCGAAGGUGACGAAGAGUGAGUGACGGUAAUGAGUAAAGAAGCACCGCCUAACUACGUG